CACAUCGAAUCAAUGCGAUGUUGCCAAAUUUCUCAGCAUGGCUUGUAUUAAAGACGGCUGUGUACAGAGUAAACCAAUUUGAUUUGCACCGGGAAAGUUUUGUUAGCAUACCACCGUCAGGAACUCUUAUUGAGCCAGUGUAGAGGUCGCCAAUCGUCUGCAUCGGAAAGGUCCACGACAUUAUUUGACUCUGACGGGAGCCAACCACCGAUCUCCUCAAGAAUAUCGAGCUCUCUUUAAUCAAGUAAAUCCAGGAACCAUUGCCUGAGUCUCCCGAGAACAGACGCGAGAGCAACCAAUCAGCGAGCAAGAGCCAUGAAACCUGACCAUCCACAAAAUGGUCAUAUCAAAUGAACAACCUCGACCGCAACUACAUCACCAGUAUUAUGAAAUGAAAUGCAAACAAGCAAAAUAACGGAAUUUUCCGUAAGGAAGGAAAGCGUUACAACCUUCACCUGCUCCCUUAUCUUGACUAAUGUUCAGUCGCUGAAUCAGAACUUUUAGCCAAUUAUGGUUCAAUUGUCGAUCUCAGAAAAUACAUGAUUUAGCAAUAACUUAACACUUUGAAUGUGGUCUCAUAAACCGGCUGGAUGGUUCGAUUCACACCAAUUUGUCAUGUUAUGUCGAAUAACAUCAGAUAGUGGACCGUAAUAUGUAUCUGAUUUCAUCCUCAAUUUACUUGGAAUCGUAGCUUCGACGAACGAAACAUAAUUUCUAUGAAUAUUCAAAUCAGAUGAUACCAUACUGAUUGUCAAAUAGAUCACUGGAAUACAUAUUCCGAAUAAAUCGUCAGAGUAUGGGUGCGUGAUGCAAAUUUUGGAAUUGGUCGAAUUUCAAUUUUUGAUGAGGGUAUCUAAAGGUAACAGUUCCGUUUGCAAAGUGUAAAUCAUUUCUUUAUAUUUUGUAAUAAAAUUAACUGUAUUCAACUAACUAAUUUAGGUAAUAACAAAGUUUUGCAUGAAGUAUUCCAAUGUUGGAAAUUAAAUCAGAACGUGACUUCAUUUCUUGACGCGCCAACGUUUUUGACUGAACUGAACUACAUAAUUUGAAAAAUAUGCGGAAACUUUUUCUGUAUUUUCAAACAAAAUUAGUCCAAUUAUUCUGUAUCCACGUUUAUCCGU
Agrilus planipennis (emerald ash borer) is the source of this 1121-nucleotide long non-coding RNA. RefSeq lists it as uncharacterized. The record is from RefSeq and is a predicted model, not a curated record. The transcript is spliced from 4 exons. Lineage: Eukaryota; Metazoa; Arthropoda; Insecta; Coleoptera; Buprestidae.